GAUGAACGCUAGCGGCAGGCCUAAUACAUGCAAGUCGGACGGGAUCCAUCGGAGAGCUUGCUCGAAGAUGGUGAGAGUGGCGCACGGGUGCGUAACGCGUGAGCAACCUACCUCUAUCAGGGGGAUAGCCUCUCGAAAGAGAGAUUAACACCGCAUAACAUAUCUGACCGGCAUCGGUUAGCUAUUAAAUAUUUAUAGGAUAGAGAUGGGCUCGCGUGACAUUAGCUAGUUGGUAGGGUAACGGCUUACCAAGGCGACGAUGUCUAGGGGCUCUGAGAGGAGAAUCCCCCACACUGGUACUGAGACACGGACCAGACUCCUACGGGAGGCAGCAGUAAGGAAUAUUGGUCAAUGGGCGGAAGCCUGAACCAGCCAUGCCGCGUGCAGGAUGACUGCCCUAUGGGUUGUAAACUGCUUUUGUCCAGGAAUAAACCUAGAUACGUGUAUCUAGCUGAAUGUACUGGAAGAAUAAGGAUCGGCUAACUCCGUGCCAGCAGCCGCGGUAAUACGGAGGAUCCGAGCGUUAUCCGGAUUUAUUGGGUUUAAAGGGUGCGUAGGCGGCCUAUUAAGUCAGGGGUGAAAUACGGUGGCUCAACCAUCGCAGUGCCUUUGAUACUGAUGGGCUUGAAUCCAUUUGAAGUGGGCGGAAUAAGACAAGUAGCGGUGAAAUGCAUAGAUAUGUCUUAGAACUCCGAUUGCGAAGGCAGCUCACUAAGCUGGUAUUGACGCUGAUGCACGAAAGCGUGGGGAUCGAACAGGAUUAGAUACCCUGGUAGUCCACGCCCUAAACGAUGAUAACUCGAUGUUGGCGAUAGACAGCCAGCGUCCAAGCGAAAGCGUUAAGUUAUCCACCUGGGGAGUACGCCCGCAAGGGUGAAACUCAAAGGAAUUGACGGGGGCCCGCACAAGCGGAGGAGCAUGUGGUUUAAUUCGAUGAUACGCGAGGAACCUUACCCGGGCUUGAAAGUUAGUGAAGAGUGCAGAGACGCACUCGUCCUUCGGGACACGAAACUAGGUGCUGCAUGGCUGUCGUCAGCUCGUGCCGUGAGGUGUUGGGUUAAGUCCCGCAACGAGCGCAACCCCUAUGUUUAGUUGCCAGCAUUUAAGGUGGGGACUCUAAACAGACUGCCUGUGCAAACAGAGAGGAAGGUGGGGACGACGUCAAGUCAUCAUGGCCCUUACGUCCGGGGCUACACACGUGCUACAAUGGAUGGUACAGCGGGCAGCUACAUAGCAAUAUGAUGCUAAUCUCUAAAAGCCAUUCACAGUUCGGAUUGGGGUCUGCAACUCGACCCCAUGAAGUUGGAUUCGCUAGUAAUCGCGUAUCAGCAAUGACGCGGUGAAUACGUUCCCGGGCCU
This 1359-nucleotide ribosomal RNA is filed under the name uncultured bacterium. Its description in RNAcentral is "bacterial SSU rRNA". It matches the Rfam family "Bacterial small subunit ribosomal RNA", at positions 28 to 1381 of the family's 1533-position model. The record is from RNAcentral.